UAGGCAGGAGCCAAGGGGUAAGGCGUCUAGCUGUUAACUAGAAUCAUAUGGGAUCAAGGCCCAUCUGCCUAG
Meleagris gallopavo (turkey) is the source of this 72-nucleotide non-coding RNA. NCBI's taxonomy places the organism in Eukaryota, Metazoa, Chordata, Aves, Galliformes, Phasianidae. The record is from Ensembl.